RNAcentral lists this ribosomal RNA (618 nucleotides) under uncultured bacterium. RNAcentral describes it as "bacterial SSU rRNA". It matches the Rfam family "Bacterial small subunit ribosomal RNA", at positions 338 to 948 of the family's 1533-position model. The record is from RNAcentral.
CCUACGGGAGGCAGCAGUGGGGAAUUUUGGACAAUGGGCGAAAGCCUGAUCCAGCCAUUCCGCGUGAGUGAAGAAGGCCUUCGGGUUGUAAAGCUCUUUCGCAAGGGAAGAAAACUUAGUCUCUAACAUAGACUGAGGUUGACGGUACCUUGAUAAGAAGCACCGGCUAACUACGUGCCAGCAGCCGCGGUAAUACGUAGGGUGCGAGCGUUAAUCGGAAUUACUGGGCGUAAAGCGUGCGCAGGCGGUUUUGUAAGUCAGAUGUGAAAUCCCCGAGCUCAACUUGGGAACUGCGUUUGAAACUACAAGACUAGAAUAUGUCAGAGGGGGGUAGAAUUCCACGUGUAGCAGUGAAAUGCGUAGAGAUGUGGAGGAAUACCAAUGGCGAAGGCAGCCCCCUGGGAUAAUAUUGACGCUCAUGCACGAAAGCGUGGGGAGCAAACAGGAUUAGAUACCCUGGUAGUCCACGCCCUAAACGAUGUCUACUAGUUGUUGGUGGAGUAAAAUCCAUGAGUAACGCAGCUAACGCGUGAAGUAGACCGCCUGGGGAUACGGUCGCAAGNUUAAAACUCAAAUGAAUUGACGGCUGAGAGAGCGAGACGACGACGAGGGAGGAGG